AUACGGAGGGUGCGAGCGUUGUUCGGAAUUAUUGGGCGUAAAGAGCAUGUAGGCGGUCUGUUAAGUCUGGUGUGAAAGCCCGGGGCUCAACCCCGGAAGUGCAUUGGAUACUGGCAGACUUGAGUAUGGGAGAGGAAAGCGGAAUUCCGAGUGUAGGAGUGAAAUCCGUAGAUAUUCGGAGGAACACCAGUGGCGAAGGCGGCUUUCUGGACCAAUACUGGCGCUGAGAUGCGAAAGCGUGGGGAGCAAACAGGAUUAGAAACCCUAGUAGUCC
RNAcentral lists this ribosomal RNA (274 nucleotides) under uncultured bacterium. RNAcentral's name for it is "partial 16S ribosomal RNA". It matches the Rfam family "Bacterial small subunit ribosomal RNA", at positions 523 to 796 of the family's 1533-position model. The record is from RNAcentral.